CUGGGCUACGCAGGGCCCCGGCGGCGGCCGGAGAGCUGCACCUGUCUGUGUGGCGGUAUGCGGGGAGGCCGGCCUGCGUGGCGCUGGGGCCGGGCCGGCGGCGCCUGCGCUGGGUCGCGAAUUGGGCCGCUCCCCGUGUCAGUGGUGGUGUGCGGAGCUCUCUGGGAGGGCGGUCUGCCUUCGGGCCGGCAGGGACCAGCGGUCCCGGGUGAGAGCCCAGAACGGCGGGGGCAGAGGGGAGAGCAGGCGAGGCGGCGAGGCCCGUCUGUGGGUGCCCGAGCGCGUCCUCGGUUGAGGGAAGGGGGCCGACGUGCGCAAUGGCAGCCGCGGGGGGCCGUCGCCGAGUUUGUGGGGCGGCUCCGUGCUUGGCCGGCGCCGGUGCGAAGUGCUGCAGAAAACGGGCGGUAGUGCUGCGUGUAAAAGAGCAAGAAGUGUAAUACUGUUGCUUCAGGCUGAUCUGGGGAAUGACUACUCAUCUAAAAGAGCGGAUGGGAAAAGGAUUUUGGUUCUUGUCUACAAGUUUACGUGAUGCAUGGUAGAUAUGGUAGUAGCAGACAUCUAUAACAUCAUCAGCCCCUGUUUUAAGAAUAGAAACAUAAGUAUUAGGUUGUUUACAAGUGUUCAGUUUGUGUUUGUAUAUGUAUCUGUAUGCUGACAGGAGCUCAGAUUGCUGUUUUUAAAGUAUAUUGUGUGGAUUUUUUCAUUAGCUUUUGUAAAGAGUAAUAACAUGUUUUCAUGGAUACAGAAUGGUGGUAGUUACACUGCUGCACUUAGAGUACCUUUUAUUAGUCUCAUGAAAAUUUUUCUUUCAAACAUUGCAUAGGUUCAGCUGCAUCUCUGCAGUACAGGUAAUCAGGGCCUCAUUAUUUUCUCGUGUUCAUAACUUUGGCAUAAAGUUCUUUUUCAUUUAGAACAGAUGUAUUAAAGCAGUUUCUAAUGCUCAGUGUUGGGUUUUCUUUUUAUAUUAAGAUUUUUGCCCAAGUUAUAGAGGCAUUGAAUAAAUUUGUUCUUGCAUCCCUACCACUGCCCAAUGCUUUCCCAACUGUUCCUAUAAUUGUCUGACCAGUAAUUCCUUAUGGUGGGGGCAGUGAGAAUCCCUGUUCACUACAUCUGGAGUUCAUUGUGAACUGGUCCGUGUUGCUUUUCCUUCCAGUCCUCAAUUCCUGGAAUCUCUUAAUCUGAAAGAUAAGUUAUUCAUUCAGUAGUCUUUUGCAUCCAAAAAAAACCCAGAAGGCAUUGAGUAACGUACAGGACGUUGCUGCAUGCUGAUAGUAAAUGCUAAGAAUGUUCUUUAAAAAUUGUUUUGUUGUUAGGUGUCAGUUUCCCCCUGUUAGUCUAGCAAAACCCAGUAACACUGGGAAGGGGAAUAGUGUAAGUAAGAUAAUAAUGGAAAUAAGAAGAAAAUGGUGCUAUUAGAAGGGAAAGCACUAUGGCUGUCAGUAUUUCUUAGAGAAGUAGACUUCAAACUUACUUUAUGCAAAUCUACCCCAAAUAGAAGGCAGCAGAAUAUUCUAAUGAACACAGCUGAUGAGAAAGUUAGAUGCAUAUGUUUGAUAACUGGUAAUGUAAGUGAACUUUACUAAGACUUUCCUUGAAAAUCAGGAUGCGUCAGAACUUAGUGAAUAUUGCCCAGAAUCGGUCAGAGUAUAAAAAGUAUGUUCUGCCAGAAGGUUUUUGAAGUGUCUGUGCCACGAACUAAAUAAAUGCUGUGCAGAUUCUUUCUCAACGUGUUCCAGCAUGAACUAUCCAAAAGUACACCUGUCAGAAUAAAUAUAUAUACGCGUUGUACUUGCUACCAUUAAAUCAAAGAAGGUGAUGCGAGUUCUCAGCUAACUAAUGUGAGUCUUUUUAUCCCUACACUAAUGAAUCCAUUUUGAUCGUCUGCAUUGAACAAAUAAAAUACAUUUCUUGAUGGGUAUCACACUAGCUUCUUCAUUAGGAGAGUAGGAAUCUGAUUAAGAUAUUUUGCAAUUCUGUUUAGUAAAGGGAUGCUGUUAUCUUCAAUGCUGAUGAUGUCCUUGUUCUUUCAUUCCUAUGUAUUAAAAGAUUAUACAAGUGGUUACAGCUUGUGUGAUUUAUCAGUUUUUCCUGCUUGCCUUCUCUUGUGCUCUGUUGUAGAGUAUAAAGGAAUGAUUGUGACAAGUAGAGAAACUGACUCCUUCAGUGACCAAGAAGAUAGUCUGGAAAUCAAAUUUAGGAAACAAACAGAAAACCCACUCAGAUUUCCACCAAGUCAUUUGGUCCUUGCAAACAGGCUCUUUCUGAAUGAUAUUCAGUGAUUUAAUUUGGUGAAUAAAGCAUGAGAGUAGAACGCAAGAUCUUUCCCUGCUUUGUUCAGCCACUGGGCUUCUCAGUCGCAGUUUAGAUCCCCUUGUAUAUACAUCUGGCUAUUUAAUCUGUUGUAUGAGAAGGAUAAUCAGAAUAAUUCAUAGCACCUCAAAAUCAUAUGGUGAAAAGUUUUUUGUCUAAGAGGUAACAGCUACCUCUGAGGUGGUACUUGGUGCCAGAACCUUAGUCUUUAAAUGCUGCUAGCUAAAGUUAUUGUUCAGUAGAAUAAUUAAACAACUAAAUAACAUCACUUCUCUCCCCCAGACCCCUCCUUACACUCACACUCUGCUUUGGUAAUACAUUUAGAACAUCACCACAAACAAGAAAUGCAGUUUUCUCUAGUGUUUUGUGGGUCACUGGUGAUUAAUGUUUCCAAAUCAUACUGUUUUUCAAACUAGUAAUGAACUUUUUCCUAAGCUGUGAAGUAGUUAUCUGGAGGCAGAGAAUACUUCAAAGAUCUGUUAGUGGUAUAUUCUAUACUCUUUCUUGAACUCAAAAUUUCAUUAAACAACAGUUUCUAGUGCUUUGUUUGCUGCCAUUUUUAAAUAAAGCCUACUAAUUCUAUUUUCUGUUAUUGUUAAAACCUGUGGAUUUUGAUCACUGUGGCCUUGCAUCAUAGGUUUAAUAAAUGAAUUGUCCUACCACACAAAUACUGAUUAAAAUCAUUACUAUCCAA
This is a long non-coding RNA of Strigops habroptila (Kakapo), 3004 nucleotides long. RefSeq lists it as uncharacterized. NCBI's taxonomy places the organism in Eukaryota, Metazoa, Chordata, Aves, Psittaciformes, Psittacidae. The record is from RefSeq and is a predicted model, not a curated record. The transcript is spliced from 2 exons.